AGCAGCCGCGGUAAUUCCAGCUCCAAUAGCGUAUAUUAAAGUUGUUGCAGUUAAAAAGCUCGUAGUUGAAUUUCGGGAUCAAUUUAUUGGUCGUGCUAUUGUACGUACUGGUAUUAUUGAUUCCUACCUUCUGACGAACCAUGAUGUCAUUAAUUUGGUGUCAUGGGGAAUCAGGACUGUUACUUUGAAAAAUUAGAGUGUUUAAAGCAGGCUCACGCUUGAAUACAUUAGCAUGGAAUAACGAAAUAGGACGUUUGAUUCUAUUUUGUUGGUUUCUAGGAUCGACGUAAUGAUUAAUAGGGAUAGUUGGGGCAUUAGUAUUCAAUUGUCAGAGGUGAAAUUCUUGGAUUUAUUGAAGACUAACUACUGCGAAAGCAUUUGCCAAGGAUGUUUUCAUUAAU
RNAcentral lists this ribosomal RNA (401 nucleotides) under uncultured Glomeromycotina. RNAcentral's name for it is "SSU rRNA". It matches the Rfam family "Eukaryotic small subunit ribosomal RNA", at positions 569 to 977 of the family's 1831-position model. Lineage: Eukaryota; Fungi; Glomeromycota. The record is from RNAcentral.